Long non-coding RNA from Quercus robur (English oak), 484 nucleotides. RefSeq lists it as uncharacterized. NCBI's taxonomy places the organism in Eukaryota, Viridiplantae, Streptophyta, Magnoliopsida, Fagales, Fagaceae. The record is from RefSeq and is a predicted model, not a curated record. The transcript has 2 exons.
CACUGCUGCUCUCAAACCUCGUCCCCGCCGACCACCGUUGACCUGAGUGAUAGCAUCAUAAAGUAUCAACCUUUUGUCAGUUUUCUUAUAUCUCUCUCAAUCAGUUUGGUCUCUAAGCUUGUGUGUGUCUCUUUUCAGCUAGUAAGUUCAGUUCAAUGCUCUCUUUCACAUUUCUUAUUCCUCUGUUAGUCUUCACAUUUGAGCUUACUUCAAUAUGACAUCUUUGUAUAUGCUUAAAGCUCUGUGUGUGUGUGUGUUUGUGUUUCAUUUUUCAAUCAUAGUUUGUGUAUGAUGUAGAGUCUCUGUUAAUGUUGCUAUCAGCUAUAUAUCAUAUUGAAGCUUAUCUAUUAUUUGACUCAGUUUAAAAUCUUCAGAUUACCUACCUUCUUCAGUCAAAAAAAUCUUCAGAUUACAGGCCAAAAGAUCUCGACUUGGGUGUGCUAAAAUGGGGAGACUUUCAAAACCCAUGAUGGGUUUCAUGCUA